RNAcentral lists this ribosomal RNA (372 nucleotides) under uncultured organism. RNAcentral describes it as "bacterial SSU rRNA". It matches the Rfam family "Bacterial small subunit ribosomal RNA", at positions 526 to 896 of the family's 1533-position model. The record is from RNAcentral.
CAGAGGGGGCAAGCGUUGUUCGGAAUUACUGGGCGUAAAGGGCGCGUAGGCGGCCUGCUAAGUCGAACGUGAAAUCCCCGGGCUCAACCCGGGAACUGCGUCCGAUACUGGUUGGCUUGAAUCCGGGAGAGGGAUGCGGAAUUCCAGGUGUAGCGGUGAAAUGCGUAGAUAUCUGGAGGAACACCGGUGGCGAAGGCGGCAUCCUGGACCGGCAUUGACGCUGAGGCGCGAAAGCCAGGGGAGCAAACGGGAUUAGAUACCCCGGUAGUCCUGGCCCUAAACGAUGAAUGCUUGGUGUGGUGGGUAUCGAUCCCUACCGUGCCGAAGCUAACGCAUUAAGCAUUCCGCCUGGGGAGUACGGUCGCAAGGCUG